This 26-nucleotide non-coding RNA is filed under the name Bombyx mori (domestic silkworm). Lineage: Eukaryota; Metazoa; Arthropoda; Insecta; Lepidoptera; Bombycidae. The record is from RNAcentral.
GCGUCAGAGAAUGAAGACUGGUGGCG